This 4336-nucleotide long non-coding RNA is filed under the name Linum usitatissimum (flax). Its description in RNAcentral is "long non-coding RNA (LUSI_LNC005020)". The record is from RNAcentral. Lineage: Eukaryota; Viridiplantae; Streptophyta; Magnoliopsida; Malpighiales; Linaceae.
UAGUUUAGAAGAAAUUUUCCUAUCUAAGUCCUUGCCUAGCUUGAUUACUUUGAUGUGCAAGUUCUUUACGUUUAAGAUGGAUGUUUCCGUGACUAUUGGUGAAAAUCUAGAUUCCUUCUUGCGGAUGACUCAGGAUCUAGAACGUAAUGGUGAUAUAAUAAAAGAUACUCACCAAGCUGUGAUUUUGUUGAACUCUUCGCCAGCUCAAUUUGAUACUUUCAAAGAUGUCAUAUAAUAUGGUCGUGAUGACAUCACUAUAGCUCAAAGUUCUCAGGCUAUUUUCCAAAAGGAUGAAGUCCUUAAGGUGCUUAAGUCUAGAGUUAAGGGUAAACCUGUUGACAAUAAGGCUGAUGGUAAAACAUAAGCCCUAAUGGUUAAGGGUAAAGUUAAAGGUCAUAAAAAAAAGUCUAAGAGUAAUACUGAUAAGAGUAAAAACAAUGAUAGUUUACGAUGAUAAAGAUGAUCAUUAUGCUAAGGAGUGUCAUAAAAGGAUUAGGAAUGAAAAAAAUUAGUCUAAGGACAAUUCUGAUUCAUCAAACCUGUUUGAGUCUUGCCAAGAAUAAAAACAAUGUAAUACUGAUAAGAGUAAUACUGAUAAGAGUAAAAACAAUGAUAAAACUAAGUUUAAGUGUUUUUACUGUGAUAAAGACGAUCAUUAUGCUAAGGAGUGUCAUAAAAGGAUUAGGGAUGAAAAAAAAUAAGUCUAAGGACAAUUCUGAUUCAUCAAACCUGUUUGAGUCUUGCCAAGAAUACCCUCAUGAACUGCUUGUUGUGGACCGUGGCAGAGUGUCAAACGACUGGAUCCUUGCUUCAGGUGACCAUACUACUCUUUCUAAACAAGAAGGAGGAGAUGUGAUGUUGGGUGACCAUACUACUCUUAAGUUAAGGGUAUAUGGUCAAUCCCCAUGAGGAUUUUCGAUGGUAGGAUUAGAGUGAUUCGAAAUGUGAAUGGGUCCCAACAUUGAGAAGGAAUUUGCUGUAUGAGUCUUUAUUUGAUGAAAUGCAUUGUCAGAUUAGAACUCGUGAUGGUAUUAAGGAUGUCAUAAAAGAUAACAAAGUAGUGAUAAGAAGUGUCAAAUGUGAUGGUCUAUAUUAUGUGGUUGGUUCUAUGAAUUGAAUGUUUCUAAAAGUUGUGUUAAACAUGGUAAUUCUGCUUUUACUAAACUCUAGCAUGAUAGACUAGGGCAUAUUGGUUAUAAUGAUUUGGUUCAUUUGUUCAAAAAUGGCCUGAUUAAUAAACACCCUUGUAGUCUUGAUUUCUGUGAAAACCGUGUUCUUGGAAAGAAAAUAAAACAUAUUUUUGGGAAAUCUUCCUAUACUGCCUCUAGAGUUCUGGAACACCUUCAUGCUAGUCUUUAGGGUUCAGCUCAGGUAGAAACCAUUGGUGGAAGGAAAUACUUUCUUACCAUCAGUGAUCAUUACUCUAAGAAAGUAUGGGUUAGGCUUUUAAAGACUAAGUAUGAAGCUUUUGAGUCUUUCAAAUCCUAGAAAAUCAUGGUUGAAACUCAAACUGGAGACACUCUUAAGUGUUUAAAAACCGAUAAUAGCUUAGAGUUCUGUAAUAAAGCUUUUGACUCUUUCUGCCAACAACAUGGUAUAAAGAGACAUCUCAUUGUGCUUGGGACUCCUCAUCAUAAUGGUACUGCUGAAAGGAUGAACAUGAAUCUUCUUGAGAAAGCUAGAUGUAUGCUAAUUGGUGCUGGUUUAAAACCUCAUUUAUGGGGAGAGGUAAUAACCACUGCUGCCUGCCUCAUAAACAUGUCUCCAUCGGCUGCUAUUGGGUUUAAAACCCCACAAGAGCUGUGGACUAGUAAACCACCAGAUUUAGACCAUCUAAAACCUUUUGGUUGCUCUGCUUACUCUCUUGUGGCACAAGGAAAGUUGAAUCCUCAUGCUCAGAAAUACGUUUUAUUUGGUUAUCCAAAGGGAGUAAAGGGUUAUAAACUACUCUUGAUUCUCCCUCAAGGGUAUAAGUGAUCAUUUCUCGAGAUGUGAAAUUUAAUUUAAUUUCAAAGAAAAACUAAUGAGUUCUUCUGAGGUUGCAACUACAACAGACACCCCUGACCCUCCUCCUGUCCCUGCGGGACAGUUCUUUGCGCUUGAAGAGGGCAAUAACAAUCUUGAUGAAGCAGAAUUUAACCAAGGUCAUUCAUUGCACCUAUCUGACUCCUGGCUUCGAAGGCCAUUCUCCUUCAUCCGCUGGUGAGACCUCCAGUUCUCACCAUUCCACUCAUCCGGCAGAAUCAACACCUUCCAACCCUUAAGAAGUUGGUGGGGGGGGGGAGGUAGUAAGUGUAUCUUCUCCCUCUUUGUCUGUGUCUAAUAGUGUUUUCUCUGCUUCUAUUAGUCAGUCUGAUGAUCUGAAUGCCAAUUCAAAUUCUAAUUUGUAUGAUCUGGCUGAUUAUCAACUUGCUAGGGAUAGAGAACCUAGAACUAGGAUCCCUAAUAGGAAAUACACUUCCAAUCUUGUUGAGUUAGCUAUCUGUGUUUCUCAUCUAGUUGCUUCAUUUACUCGUGAGACUUACAGCCAAGCUGUAAAUUGCUCUAAGUCAAAUGAGUGGAAUUUAGCUAUGUAUGAAGAAUAUAAAUCUAUGCAUGCUAAUAAAACAUGGAAUCUUGUGCCUAAACCUGAAAAUGUCAAAAUUAUGGGUAAUAAAUGGGUUUAUAGAUUUAAAGAGAGCUCUUCUAACUUAGAUCCUUCUAGAUACAAGGCAAGACUUAUAGCUAAAGGAUGUAUUCAGAGAGAGGGCAUUGAUUACAAUGAAAUCUUUGCUCAUGUAGUCAAGUAUAAGACUACGAGGCUCUUACUUGCUAUGACUGUUGUUUUUUACCGGGAUCUUGAACAAAUGGGUGUGAAAACUACUUUCUUGAAUGAUGACCUGAUGGAAACCAUUUACAUGUAAUGGCCUUAGGGCUUUGUUGAUCCAAAAUACCCUGAUCAUGUGUUUUUGUGGAACAAAUCCAUAUACGAUCUUAAACACUCUCCUAGGCAGUGGAACAUAAAACUUGACACUUGCAUGAAAUUUAUUGGGUUCACCAAAAGCAGUUAUGUUACCUAUCUCUAUUUUAAGAAUGUUAAAACAAAAAAUCAUAUGUUCAUUUUGCUCUACACUGAUGACAUUCUUCUCAUCAGCAGCUUAUCUGUCAGCAUUGUUGGUGCUAAGAAUGACCUCAAAAGGCAUUUUGAAAUAAAGGACUUAUGUCUGGCCAAAAGGUUUUUGGGUCUUAACAUCGUGAGAAAUAGGAAAACAGGUGCCUGAUGCUCUCCUAAUCUGAUUACCUGCAAAAAGUGUUAGAGAAAUUUUCCAUUCAUGGCUCAAAGCCUGUCUCUGUGCCUUUGGGAGCUCACCUAGAGCUUACAAAGUCUCAGUGCCCUUCAACCUUUGAGAUCAAAAAAUGAAGUUGAUUCCUUAUGAUGUAUCCAUUGGUUCUGUUAUGUAUGCAAUGUUAUGCACCAUACCUGAUAUAGCUUUUGCUAUAAGUGUUUUAAGCAGGUACAUGUCAAAUCCUUGGGAGAAACACUGGCCAGCUAUGCCGUAUGCUCUUCGGUACAUCUCUGGAACUAGAAACUUGGUUCUAGUAUACUCUAAACACUCUGAUAAUUGUGACUUGGUUGGCUUUGUUGACUCUUAUCAUGCAAGUAACAAAGACACUCCCAAGUCUAUUACUUCUUUUGUAUAUACUUGGAUUGGAAAUUGUAUUUACUAGAAAUCAGAACAACUGCCUAUAGUUGCCUUGUCAUCAACCAAAGCUGAAUACAUUGCGGAAACCGAAGCAUGUAAGAAGCAACUUGGUUAAAAGGCCUUUUGAGUGAAAUUUAUAUAGAACCUAUCUUCAUGUACUAUUUAUGGAUAAUCAGAGUGCCCUUCUACUACCUCUGAGAGUGCUUUACAUCUUAGAACUUCUGCAGUCGUUCCUCAACCUGGAAGGGGACUGAAAGCCUCUGCUUCUCUUUCUCUUGUUGUGUUCUCUGUUGUAAUCUUUCUUGUUUUGAUUAGGGUUCCGUUGAAGCUCUAUCGAUCUUGUAAUUGUUGUAACCUUUGUACCGAUUAGUGGGAUUUCUUAUUGAGCUUUCCAUCUCGGAGGCUCUACCGAGUAAGAUAGUUCACUCUGAACAUCAUUAACAAACUCUGUGUCUCUUUAUGUUUCUCGCUGUAGAUCUAUCAUUGCCUAUUCGAUCUGUGAGCGUUCUGAGGGCCUUGAGAGUUAGUCUAUUUCAUUAUGUUGCCUACGAGAUCAGAUCUGAUAUCACCAGCUUUAUUGGACCAUUUAAAUAAGACUGAAUCCUGAGGUAAAGCUGCAAGCUUUAGAGCUUCUACACCUCAUUUUAUGCUUG